This 253-nucleotide ribosomal RNA is filed under the name uncultured bacterium. Its description in RNAcentral is "partial 16S ribosomal RNA". It matches the Rfam family "Bacterial small subunit ribosomal RNA", at positions 524 to 776 of the family's 1533-position model. The record is from RNAcentral.
UAAGGAGGGGGCAAGCGUUAUUCGGAAUCACUGGGUUUAAAGGGUGCGUAGGCUGCUGCAUAAGUCAGGGGUGAAAGUUUGUCGCUUAACGAUAGAACUGCCUUUGAUACUGUGCGGCUUGAAAUUAGGUGAGGUUGGCGGAAUGUGACAUGUAGCGGUGAAAUGCGUAGAUAUGUCAUAGAACACCGAUUGCGAAGGCAGCUGGCUAGCCUACAGUUGACGCUGAGGCGCGAAAGCGUGGGUAGCAAACAGG